GUGGGGAAUCUUGCGCAAUGGGCGAAAGCCUGACGCAGCCAUGCCGCGUGAAUGAUGAAGGUCUUAGGAUUGUAAAAUUCUUUCACCGGGGACGAUAAUGACGGUACCCGGAGAAGAAGCCCCGGCUAACUUCGUGCCAGCAGCCGCGGUAAUACGAAGGGGGCUAGCGUUGCUCGGAAUUACUGGACGUAAAGGGCGCGUAGGCGGACAGUUUAGUCAGAGGUGAAAGCCCAGGGCUCAACCUUGGAAUUGCCUUUGAUACUGGCUGUCUUGAGUACGGGAGAGGUGAGGGGAACUCCGAGUGUAGAGGUGAAAUUCGUAGAUAUUCGGAAGAACACCAGUGGCGAAGGCGACUCACUGGCCCGUUACUGACGCUGAGGCGCGAAAGCGUGGGGAGCAAACAGGAUUAGAAACCCGGGUAGUCC
This 425-nucleotide ribosomal RNA is filed under the name uncultured bacterium. Its description in RNAcentral is "partial 16S ribosomal RNA". It matches the Rfam family "Bacterial small subunit ribosomal RNA", at positions 354 to 796 of the family's 1533-position model. The record is from RNAcentral.